GCACUGGGUAGUUCAGCUGGUUAGAGCGUGGUGCUGACAAUGCCAAGGUUGCAGGUUCGAUCCCUGUUUGGGACA
Molecule: non-coding RNA, 75 nt
Organism: Podarcis lilfordi (Lilford's wall lizard)
Lineage: Eukaryota; Metazoa; Chordata; Lepidosauria; Squamata; Lacertidae
Source: the annotation of a GenBank genome assembly